RNAcentral lists this unclassified non-coding RNA (343 nucleotides) under soil metagenome. RNAcentral's name for it is "partial contains 5.8S ribosomal RNA, internal transcribed spacer 2, and large subunit ribosomal RNA". The stretch from base 1 to 120 matches the Rfam family "5.8S ribosomal RNA", at positions 35 to 154 of the family's 154-position model. The record is from RNAcentral.
GAUGAAGAACGUAGCGAAGUGCGAUAAGUAAUGUGAAUUGCAGAAUUCAGUGAAUCAUCGAAUCUUUGAACGCACAUUGCGCCCGCUAGUAUUCUGGCGGGCAUGCCUGUCCGAGCGUCAUUUCAACCCUCAAGCCCCCGGGCUUGGUGUUGGGGAUCGGCGAGCCUCCGCGCCCGCCGUCCCCUAAAUCUAGUGGCGGUCUCGCUGUAGCUUCCUCUGCGUAGUAGCACACCUCGCACUGGGAAACAGCGCGGCCACGCCGUUAAACCCCCAACUUCUGAACGUUUGACCUCGGAUCAGGUAGGAAUACCCGCUGAACUUAAGCAUAUCAAUAAGCGGAGGA